UUCCCAAUGCCCUUCUUGCAAGAUGACAGAACCAAUCUACAAAACUGCUGGAUUUGCUUUUGCGUUCUCAAAGAAUUCUACCUUGGUCUCGAAUUUUUUAGUUGCAAUAUUAAAUGUGACUCAAAAUGUGACGACGUUGGGUGA
Neltuma alba is the source of this 144-nucleotide long non-coding RNA. RefSeq lists it as uncharacterized. The transcript is spliced from 2 exons. NCBI's taxonomy places the organism in Eukaryota, Viridiplantae, Streptophyta, Magnoliopsida, Fabales, Fabaceae. The record is from RefSeq and is a predicted model, not a curated record.